RNAcentral lists this ribosomal RNA (468 nucleotides) under uncultured bacterium. RNAcentral describes it as "partial 16S ribosomal RNA". It matches the Rfam family "Bacterial small subunit ribosomal RNA", at positions 28 to 507 of the family's 1533-position model. The record is from RNAcentral.
GACGAACGCUGGCGGCGUGCUUAACACAUGCAAGUCGAACGGAAAGGCCCUGCUUGUGUGGGCUUCCGGGUGGCGAAACGGGGACGUAACACGUGAGUAUCCGACCCUUGAUUUUGGGGGAACUUAAGGAAACUAAGCCUAUUACCGGAUAGGAUAUCCUCCUCCGUGGUGGGGAUUGGAACUUUUCGGCUGGUGGGGAUGGACUCGCGGGUGACGGGCUUGUUGGUGGGGGGGGUGAUGACCAAGCCUUUGAAGGGUAGCCGACUGGAGAGGGUGAACGGCCACAUUGGGCCUAAGAUACGGCCCAGACUCCUAUGGGAGGCAGCAGGGGGGAAUAUUGCACAAUGGGACGAAGCCUGAUGCAGAAACGUCGCGUGCGGGAUGCCGGCCUUCGGGUUGUAAACCGCUUUCGCUUAUGACGAAGCGUGAGUGACGGUAAUGGGUAAAGAAGCACCGGCUAACUACGUG